GACGAACGCUGGCGGCGCGCCUAACACAUGCAAGUCGAACGAGCGAGAGAGAGCUUGCUUUCUCAAGCGAGUGGCGAACGGGUGAGUAACGCGUGAGGAACCUGCCUCAAAGAGGGGGACAACAGUUGGAAACGACUGCUAAUACCGCAUAAGCCCACAGGUCGGCAUCGACCAGAGGGAAAAGGAGCAAUCCGCUUUGAGAUGGCCUCGCGUCCGAUUAGCUAGUUGGUGAGGUAACGGCCCACCAAGGCAACGAUCGGUAGCCGGACUGAGAGGUUGAACGGCCACAUUGGGACUGAGACACGGCCCAGACUCCUACGGGAGGCAGCAGUGGGGAAUAUUGCACAAUGGGGGAAACCCUGAUGCAGCGACGCCGCGUGGAGGAAGAAGGUCUUCGGAUUGUAAACUCCUGUUGUGGAGGAAGAUAAUGACGGUACUCAACAAGGAAGUGGCGGCUAACUACGUG
RNAcentral lists this ribosomal RNA (466 nucleotides) under uncultured bacterium. RNAcentral's name for it is "partial 16S ribosomal RNA". It matches the Rfam family "Bacterial small subunit ribosomal RNA", at positions 28 to 507 of the family's 1533-position model. The record is from RNAcentral.